Molecule: ribosomal RNA, 1061 nt
Filed under: Segatella copri
Lineage: Bacteria; Pseudomonadati; Bacteroidota; Bacteroidia; Bacteroidales; Prevotellaceae
Description: bacterial SSU rRNA
Rfam family: Bacterial small subunit ribosomal RNA
Source: RNAcentral
UUUUUGCAUGUACCUUAUGAAUAAGGACCGGCUAAUUCCGUGCCAGCAGCCGCGGUAAUACGGAAGGUCCGGGCGUUAUCCGGAUUUAUUGGGUUUAAAGGGAGCGUAGGCCGGAGAUUAAGCGUGUUGUGAAAUGUAGAUGCUCAACAUCUGCACUGCAGCGCGAACUGGUUUCCUUGAGUACGCACAAAGUGGGCGGAAUUCGUGGUGUAGCGGUGAAAUGCUUAGAUAUCACGAAGAACUCCGAUUGCGAAGGCAGCUCACUGGAGCGCAACUGACGCUGAAGCUCGAAAGUGCGGGUAUCGAACAGGAUUAGAUACCCUGGUAGUCCGCACGGUAAACGAUGGAUGCCCGCUGUUGGUCUGAAUAGGUCAGCGGCCAAGCGAAAGCAUUAAGCAUCCCACCUGGGGAGUACGCCGGCAACGGUGAAACUCAAAGGAAUUGACGGGGGCCCGCACAAGCGGAGGAACAUGUGGUUUAAUUCGAUGAUACGCGAGGAACCUUACCCGGGCUUGAAUUGCAGAGGAAGGAUUUGGAGACAAUGACGCCCUUCGGGGUCUCUGUGAAGGUGCUGCAUGGUUGUCGUCAGCUCGUGCCGUGAGGUGUCGGCUUAAGUGCCAUAACGAGCGCAACCCCUCUCCUUAGUUGCCAUCAGGUUAAGCUGGGCACUCUGGGGACACUGCCACCGUAAGGUGUGAGGAAGGUGGGGAUGACGUCAAAUCAGCACGGCCCUUACGUCCGGGGCUACACACGUGUUACAAUGGCAGGUACAGAGAGAUGGUGUUCUGCAAAGCGCAUCUAAUCCUUAAAGCCUGUCUCAGUUCGGACUGGGGUCUGCAACCCGACCCCACGAAGCUGGAUUCGCUAGUAAUCGCGCAUCAGCCAUGGCGCGGUGAAUACGUUCCCGGGCCUUGUACACACCGCCCGUCAAGCCAUGAAAGCCGGGGGCGCCUAAAGUCCGUGACCGUAAGGAGCGGCCUAGGGCGAAACUGGUAAUUGGGGCUAAGUCGUAACAAGGUAGCCGUACCGGAAGGUGCGGCUGGAACACCUCCUUUCUGGAG